UGGGGGUGUUUUUCAGCAGCAGGGACUGGGAGACUAGUAUUCUGGCUAGUGACACUGUCACUGAUCGUAUGCUCCCUCUCAUCGGGAGCAGUUAUCAGUGACGUGUCACUCGUAGCCACGCCCCCCUGACAGUUAGAAUCACUCCUUAGGACACACUUAACCCCUUCAGCGCUACCUAUCACCUGCCCAAUACCAUUCCAACAGUGAAGCAUGGUGAUGGCAGCAUCAUGCUGUGGGGGUGUUUUUCAGCAGCAGGGACUGGUAGACUAGUAAGGGUUGAAGGAAUGGAGCAAUGUACAGAGAUAUCCUCAAUGAAAACCUGUUCCACAUCUCUAAGGACCUUAGACUGUAAUGAAGGUUCACAUUCCAACAUGAGAAUGAUUCUAAGCACACAGCUAAGCAAUCCAGGUGUGCAAAGCUUGUGUCAAACCCCAAAAAGACUCAAGGCUGCAAUUGCUGCCAAAGGUGAUUCAACAAAGUACUGAAUAAAGGGUCUGAAUACUUAAAGCGGAGCUUUACCCUAAUAGCAUGUAUAUCUGACCAACUCCCUUAUAUUCGUAACAAGUACUGUCCGCAAUUAGUUUUUUUUUUAUGCUGUACGUACCUUGUUAUCCAUGUUUUUCAAUUUACUUCUCCCCGCGGGAGUAGGCGUUUCUAUGAAAAGUGGGUGGUCUAUUGCGCUACUGUGAGUGUUGAAAUGUGAGCCAAGUAGAUGUAUGUUGUAUAAUAAAUGGAGACCAAUUAUUAAGUGAAUACGUGAAAAAAGAAGAAUAAAUAUUAAAGCUGCUUAA
Molecule: long non-coding RNA, 791 nt
Organism: Rana temporaria (common frog)
Lineage: Eukaryota; Metazoa; Chordata; Amphibia; Anura; Ranidae
Exons: 2
Source: RefSeq, a predicted model, not a curated record